RNAcentral lists this ribosomal RNA (440 nucleotides) under uncultured bacterium. RNAcentral describes it as "partial 16S ribosomal RNA". It matches the Rfam family "Bacterial small subunit ribosomal RNA", at positions 338 to 795 of the family's 1533-position model. The record is from RNAcentral.
CCUACGGGAGGCAGCAGUGGGGAAUAUUGCACAAUGGGGGAAACCCUGAUGCAGCAACGCCGCGUGAGUGAAGAAGUCAUUCGGGAUGUAAAGCUCUAUCAGCAGGGAAGCAACUGACGGUACCUGACUAACAAGCCCCGGCUAACUACGUGCCAGCAGCCGCGGUAAUACUGAGGGAGGAAGCGUUAUCCGGAUUUACUGGGUGUAAAGGGAGCGUAGACGGCAACGCAAGUCUAGAGGGAAAUGCCAGUGCUCAACACCGGAACUGCCUUGGAAACUGUGUAGCUAGAGUGGAAGAGAGGUAAGUGGAAUGCCUAGUGUAGCGGUGAAACGCGUAGAUAUUAGGAGGAACACCAGUGGCGAAGGCGGCUUACUGGACUGUAACUGACGUUGAGGCUCGAAAGCGUGGGGAGCAAACAGGAUUAGAUACCUGUGUAGUC